Molecule: ribosomal RNA, 753 nt
Filed under: uncultured bacterium
Lineage: Bacteria
Description: bacterial SSU rRNA
Rfam family: Bacterial small subunit ribosomal RNA
Source: RNAcentral
GGCGACGACGGGUAGCCGGCCUGAGAGGGCGACCGGCCCACUGGGACUGAGACACGGCCCACACUCCUACGGGAGGCAGCAGUGGGGAAUAUUGCACAAUGGGCGCAAGCCUGAUGCAGCGACGCCGCGUGAGGGAUGACGGCCUUCGGGUUGUAAACCUCUUUCAGCAGGGAAGAAGCGAGAGUGACGGUACCUGCAGAAGAAGCGCCGGCUAACUACGUGCCAGCAGCCGCGGUAAUACGUAGGGCGCAAGCGUUGUCCGGAAUUAUUGGGCGUAAAGAGCUCGUAGGCGGCUUGUCGCGUCGGUUGUGAAAGCCCGGGGCUUAACCCCGGGUCUGCAGUCGAUACGGGCAGGCUAGAGUUCGGUAGGGGAGAUCGGAAUUCCUGGUGUAGCGGUGAAAUGCGCAGAUAUCAGGAGGAACACCGGUGGCGAAGGCGGAUCUCUGGGCCGAUACUGACGCUGAGGAGCGAAAGCGUGGGGAGCGAACAGGAUUAGAUAUCCUGGUAGUCCACGCCGUAAACGGUGGGCACUAGGUGUGGGCAACAUUCCACGUUGUCCGUGCCGCAGCUAACGCAUUAAGUGCCCCCGCCUGGGGAGUACGGCCGCAAGGCUAAAACUCAAAGGAAUUGACGGGGGCCCGCACAAGCGGCGGAGCAUGUGGCUUAAUUCGACGCACGCGAAGAACCCUUACCGAGGCUUGACAUACACCGGAAAGCAUCAGAGAUGGUGCCCCCCUUGUGGUCGGUGUACAG